RNAcentral lists this ribosomal RNA (201 nucleotides) under uncultured bacterium. Its description in RNAcentral is "partial 16S ribosomal RNA". It matches the Rfam family "Bacterial small subunit ribosomal RNA", at positions 524 to 724 of the family's 1533-position model. The record is from RNAcentral.
UACGUAGGGUGCAAGCGUUGUCCGGAAUUAUUGGGCGUAAAGAGCUCGUAGGCGGUUUGUCGCGUCUGCUGUGAAAACGCGAGGCUCAACCUCGCGCCUGCAGUGGGUACGGGCAGACUAGAGUGCGGUAGGGGAGAUUGGAAUUCCUGGUGUAGCGGUGGAAUGCGCAGAUAUCAGGAGGAACACCGAUGGCGAAGGCAG